This 573-nucleotide long non-coding RNA is filed under the name Monodelphis domestica (gray short-tailed opossum). RNAcentral's name for it is "lncRNA (ENSMODG00000044248.1)". Lineage: Eukaryota; Metazoa; Chordata; Mammalia; Didelphimorphia; Didelphidae. The record is from RNAcentral.
ACACAUAACAGCCAAGACUAACAGUCUGAAACAUGGUCAUGGAUGACAGGGUACGGAAUCUCAUAAUGAAACCAUCAAAGGGUGAUAAAGUAUUGCAACAACUACUAUAUGAAGAAGAAAUUGUUUUGAUUGUAGAGAUUCUGCUAUAAGAGGAAGAAAGAGGCUGGGACCAUUUCCAUCAGGAAAGGUUUUCCUUAAAGCUGAGAAAGAGCCCAUCUGUUUGGGACCUGUUAUUCCUUCUGGGAUCCAAAAAUACCUCCACUAGGACUCUUUAAGAGCAACUACCUGAAUUCUCAAGGGGGUUUUGAAUUUGAACUCACUCUGGCCAGAGCCAUCCAGAUCUUUCUCUAAGAUUUCUCUCUCUCCCUGACCUAUUCCUGGAUGCCUGAAUUAAAAGCUAGCUGGCCAGAGGAGGGUUCAAGGCACCCAGCCUUUGAACCCUGAGAACAUGGGGGGCCAGUCUGCCAGCGGGGACCAGUGUUAGCGUUUCCUAUUCCCCACUUUCUUUGCCCAACACCCCUACCUCGUGUGAACCCAAAUAAAUUGUUUACUGCUUUAGAAUUAGGUCUGGUU